This 73-nucleotide transfer RNA is filed under the name Marmota monax (woodchuck). Its description in RNAcentral is "tRNA.Ala". It matches the Rfam family "tRNA". From Rfam's summary of the family: Transfer RNA (tRNA) molecules are approximately 80 nucleotides in length. Their secondary structure includes four short double-helical elements and three loops (D, anti-codon, and T loops). The record is from RNAcentral. Lineage: Eukaryota; Metazoa; Chordata; Mammalia; Rodentia; Sciuridae.
UGGGGUUGUGGCUCAGUGGAAGAGCACUUGCCUAGCAUGUAUGAGGCACUGGGUUCAAUUCUCAGCACCACAA